GCCCACCAAGCCUACGACGGGUAGCUGGCCUGAGAGGGUGGUCGGCCACAAGGGCACUGAGACACGGGCCCUACUCCUACGGGAGGCAGCAGUGGGGAAUCUUGGACAAUGGGCGAAAGCCUGAUCCAGCGACGCCGCGUGGGGGACGAAGCCCUUCGGGGUGUAAACCCCUGUUGCGAGGGAGGAAUAAGACCUGGAGGAAAUGCCAGGUCGAUGACUGUACCUCGCGAGAAAGCCCCGGCUAACUACGUGCCAGCAGCCGCGGUAAUACGUAGGGGGCGAGCGUUACCCGGAUUCACUGGGCGUAAAGGGGGUGUAGGCGGCUCGGUAAGUCGGGUGUGAAAUCCCACGGCUCAACCGUGGAAUUGCGCCCGAAACUGCCGAGCUUGGGGCCGGUAGAGGGAGACGGAACUGCCGGUGUAGGGGUGAAAUCCGUAGAUAUCGGCAGGAACGCCGGUGGGGAAGCCGGUCUCCUGGGCCGCGCCCGACGCUGAGGCCCGAAAGCUAGGGGAGCAAACCGGAUUAGAUACCCGGGUAGUCCUAGCCGUAAACGAUGCCCACUAGGUGUGGGGGAGUAUUUCCUCCGUGCUGUAGCUAACGCGUUAAGUGGGCCGCCUGGGGAGUACGCCCGCAAGGGUGAAACUCAAAGGAAUUGGCGGGACCCCGCACAAGCGGUGGAGCGCGUGGUUUAAUUGGAUGCUGAGCCAAGAACCUUACCAGGGCUUGACAUGCAGGUGGUACCGACCCGAAAGGGGAGGGACCCCAUCCUUUUGGGUGGGGAGCCUGCACAGGUGGUGCACGGCCGUCGUCAGCUCGUGCCGUGAGGUGUUGGGUUAAGUCCCGCAACGAGCGCAACCCCUGCCCUUAGUUGCCAUCGGUUCGGCCGGGCACUCUAAGGGGACUGCCGGCGACGAGCCGGAGGAAGGAGGGGACGACGUCAGG
Molecule: ribosomal RNA, 942 nt
Filed under: bacterium
Lineage: Bacteria
Description: bacterial SSU rRNA
Rfam family: Bacterial small subunit ribosomal RNA
Source: RNAcentral